This 2460-nucleotide long non-coding RNA is filed under the name Olea europaea subsp. europaea. Lineage: Eukaryota; Viridiplantae; Streptophyta; Magnoliopsida; Lamiales; Oleaceae. The record is from RNAcentral.
ACGAAACCUGAUUCUCCACACAAAAUUUGAAUAUGUUUCAACCUUUCCUCUUGCAACACCCACGUUGGCGAUUUCCAAUUGAACAAAAUCACCUAUUGAAAAUCAAUUUCUCCUUUCGCUAGUCUGUGCUUCGUUUAACCUAGUUGAAUUCUGUUUUUCUUUCUUCCACUAGUGGAUUGGUGGUUUAACAUUUGAGUGAAUUUCUUUUCGACGAGCACUAAUCCAGAGAAAAUUCGACAAUGGCUGCUUCAUUUUCUUCCUUCAGAAGCUAUUAAUUAAGAGAUUAUCACACAACAGAAGGCGAGAUGCAUAGACUGAAAUCUCACUUAGAUUUUAAUUGGGGCAUCCUUAAAUUAGAGGUAAUUUGUGCCUCUGAAUUUACGCUUCUUUAAAUUGAGCCACAAAUAUGGGAUUCGUGAAGGCUAUAAUGCGGUUUUUUAUGAUGAUUUUGCAUAUUUACAGAAUCAUAUAAUUCUAUCAAAAUUGGUUUAACUUAAAAGCAACAUGCUUGGUACAUAUUCUUAUGUUUGAAUGUUUUGAAUCCGUAAUUUAUUGAUUGAAUCACUUUUAAAAUUUUAGCAGUGUUUGGUCGGGAAAAAAUCAUACAAUUAUGUACCGCGAUAUAAAUUCAGGGGCCGGAUCCAAGAUCGGGCUACUGUGCCGAAACAAAUUUUUUUACACAUAAAAAACUGAUUUUUUACCAAAAAAAUAUAAAAUAAAUACCUUAAAAAAAUGCUAUUGGACCUGAGAGAGGGGGGGGGGGGGGGCUACCCCCUAAAUCCGCCUCUGGCGAUAUUCGUAAAAUUAUUUUUAUCCACAAUGAUUUGUGACGGUUCUUUAAUUAUUCUUUUGCAGAGUCGAAAGGAUUUGGAAGAUUUUCUCUUUGUAGUGAGAAGGUAGUUUUUUCUUACGAAUUUUUGUGAAGCGGAUUUCCUUCUUUGACUAAGUUUUUAGGGUUUUCUAUGGAUUUAAUAAAUUUUGGUUUUCAGGCCGAUGUUGCAGUAAAUCGAUAAUUUUGUUGAACAAACUCUAAUAACCGCUGCCAUGUCACCUUCUACGAGUCCAAUGUUGAUACAAGCCAAUUGGUAAUCUAUACACUAAGUAGAGGAAUUUAUAUGCAUAUGUGGGUUUUAUGCACGUAGAAAUGCAUGCAGCGUCACAUCAUUUAAUGAAUUUGUCUUUUAUUCACAAUGAUUUGUAAGUGUUUUUAAUUAUUAUUUGCAGAGUCGAAAAAGAAGUGAAAUGUUUUCUCUUUGUAGUGAAAUGGUAAUUUUUCUUAGGAAUUUUGGUGAAUCUCAAUAUUUUUUUUUUUUACUGAGUUUCUAGGGGUAUUCCAAUUUAUAGUAAAGAAUCAUCGUAAUACAAGUUACUCGGUAAAAUUUGUUACAUUUAGUUGAAUAACAUACAAAAUUGAUUGCAGUUUAUAUGAAACUGAGUGAAAAUGCAAUUGAUGCAAAGAUGGAUUUUGGUAUACGUGAUAUGAUGCCUGAGUUCAUUGAUUUGAGCAGAUAAUUUGGUGGAGAAUCUCUUGGCAAUUUUGAGUAUAAAGUGUAGGUUCCGUAUUUAUUGUAUCGUAAUGUUGCUCAAGAGAUAAAUGGAAUAUGGUUCUAUAAUCAAUGUGAAUGUGAAGAAAUUGUCUCUCAUUUUCUUAUAUGUGUAGUUGUUUUGUCUGCUUCCAUUUUGUUGGUUGCUUGUAUUAGUAAAUAAGUUUAUAUUUGGCAAUAUAAGAACGUGUGUUCUAUACGAAUUUCAAUUAAUUGAAAGAAUACUGAAGUCGGUUUAAAACCUUGAAUUCGUAGAUUUUCUUGAUAUCUGUUUGUGUUUGAAAGAAUACUGAAGUCGGUUUAAAACCUUGAAUUUCUUGAUAUCUGUUUGUGUCAAUAAAUAUCAUCAUUUAAGGCUGAUUAAAGAAAUGGAAUUGAGUUUAUUUUCAUAGUGAUAUGUCUACUUGAUUUAUGAUUCUAUUAAUGCUGGAAGUUGAAGAUAAUAUUGUUAAAUUACACCCUCGCCCACCUUUUUCUUGUGCUUGAUUUUUAUUUUUCAUGUUGGUGUUGUGGAAGGUGCAAAGCAUAAUCGACGGGUUUUUAACCCCUAAGUGGAAGCUGAAGAAAGUUGAAUUUAAUUUAACAGUCAUACAAUAGCAGUUAAGCCUUCACGCUAGAAGUAGAAAAUAAAGUUAUUUUUCGAGAUUCCCAUAUAUAAAAUGUGCUAAUUGUGAAAUCAACUAUGUAAUUUGUAUGAAUUGCCGCAUUGACAUUCUUAAAUUGUGAGUAAUACAUUCAUUUGUAGGUAAUUUGUGGUUUCUUAGACAAAUUUUUCCAUUCUUGUAAUUGAUUUUUCUCCCCUAAUGGCAAGUAGUUUGAGACUAAAAUAUUUGAUUCAAAGGAGUAUUUGUAUCGUACCUUUAUUAAUCUGGUGUAAAAUGAUAACUACAGGUGUUCAAAUUGUAGGAUAAUUUAA